CAAACGACUCUCGGCAACGGAUAUCUCGGSUCUCGCAUCGAUGAAGAACGUAGCGAAAUGCGAUACUUGGUGUGAAUUGCAGAAUCCCGUGAACCAUCGAGUUUUKGANCGCAAGUUGCGCCCGAAGCCAUUAGGCCGAGGGMACGUCUGCCUGGGCGUCACAC
This 164-nucleotide ribosomal RNA is filed under the name Sambucus australis. RNAcentral describes it as "5.8S ribosomal RNA". It matches the Rfam family "5.8S ribosomal RNA". From Rfam's summary of the family: 5.8S ribosomal RNA (5.8S rRNA) is a component of the large subunit of the eukaryotic ribosome. It is transcribed by RNA polymerase I as part of the 45S precursor that also contains 18S and 28S rRNA. Lineage: Eukaryota; Viridiplantae; Streptophyta; Magnoliopsida; Dipsacales; Adoxaceae. The record is from RNAcentral.